Molecule: ribosomal RNA, 469 nt
Filed under: uncultured Desulfuromonas sp.
Lineage: Bacteria; Pseudomonadati; Thermodesulfobacteriota; Desulfuromonadia; Desulfuromonadales; Desulfuromonadaceae
Description: bacterial SSU rRNA
Rfam family: Bacterial small subunit ribosomal RNA
Source: RNAcentral
ACGGGGCCCGCACAAGCGGUGGAGCAUGUGGUUUAAUUCGACGCAACGCGAAGACCUUACCUGGGCUUGACAUCCCGAUCGCACCUUAUGGAAACAUAGGGGUCAGUUUGGCUGGAUCGGUGACAGGUGCUGCAUGGCUGUCGUCAGCUCGUGUCGUGAGAUGUUGGGUUAAGUCCCGCAACGAGCGCAACCCUUGUCCUUAGUUGCCAGCAUUCAGUUGGGCACUCUAAGGAGACUGCCGGUGUCAAACCAGAGGAAGGUGGGGAUGACGUCAAGUCCUCAUGGCCCUUAUGUCCAGGGCUACACACGUGCUACAAUGGCCGGUACAAAGGGGCGCAAGACCGCGAGGUGGAGCAAAUCCCAAAAAACCGGUCUCAGUUCGGAUUGGAGUCUGCAACUCGACUCCAUGAAGUUGGAAUCGCUAGUAAUCGCGUAUCAGCAUGACGCGGUGAAUACGUUCCCGGGCCUU